AUUGUAAUACCUAGCCCAUUCUCACCAACUCAGCCAUCAGAAAAUAGCCCAAUAUAGGAUGCACGAAGAUUAAAGCAUUGGAAAAAAUAAAAAAAAAAUGAUGGGAAUGAGAGCCUUCUUUCUCUUGAUUUCAUCGAAGAGAAGCCGAUUUUAAGAAGGAUUUGGCUUCCCCUCUGCUCUACUUAAGGACCCCAAACUUGUCUUCCGAUCCCAC
This 214-nucleotide long non-coding RNA is filed under the name Elaeis guineensis (African oil palm). RNAcentral describes it as "long non-coding RNA (EGUI_LNC045521)". Lineage: Eukaryota; Viridiplantae; Streptophyta; Magnoliopsida; Arecales; Arecaceae. The record is from RNAcentral.